GGUCCACUCCCUGCUUCCCACCCCGAGAGUUCCUGGGUUAUGCUGGUGACUCCAGGUGUGGCAGAGCACAGGCUCAGGAAGGACUUAACUCCUUGCUCCAAUCUUUGCAGUCCAAGUUAGUGACCACUGUACCGCUCCAUUUGGUCGAGGAAGUGUGGCAGACCUGUACCAGUAGGGUGUGAAACUGUGAUCUAGACUCAUUAUAAGCUCACAUGACAGUAGCUGUGUGACAUGCAGAGAAGGCACAUCGAGUCAGGUAAAUAAUAAAGGGCUAAGUGAUAUUAAAGAAUUAUUUUCUCACUGUGACAACCCACUGCUCCAGCUUCCUUUCAUUUAAAAUUAUUGCUAUCAUAGCAUAAACCAAAAUUAAAUUGUCUACUGUUCAAGAUGGUAUAACAUACACAUCUCAUUUAACACAUCUGCAUUCCUGAAAGACAACCGGAUUAUUUCCCUCUAGAUGUUGUUUUAGAAUAUUUCCAUGGGCUUUUUGGACCUAAUUAAAAAAAAAAAAAACAGUAAGCAAGCAUUACAAAUGUAGCGUCUUUGGCAGUGAAGCCUGUGCACAUUUGAUUUGCCUGCAUACUCUUCAAAGGCACGAAUGAAAGGAAAUCUG
RNAcentral lists this long non-coding RNA (613 nucleotides) under Sus scrofa (pig). RNAcentral's name for it is "lncRNA (ENSSSCG00050071191.1)". Lineage: Eukaryota; Metazoa; Chordata; Mammalia; Artiodactyla; Suidae. The record is from RNAcentral.